This 690-nucleotide ribosomal RNA is filed under the name uncultured fungus. RNAcentral describes it as "eukaryotic LSU rRNA". The stretch from base 323 to 474 matches the Rfam family "5.8S ribosomal RNA". Lineage: Eukaryota; Fungi. The record is from RNAcentral.
AAGUCGUAACAAGGUAUCCGUAUGUGAACCUGCGGAUGGAUCAUUAUCUGUCAAGCGAGAUCGCUUAGACUCGGCACUGUGAAUGGUCUAAUACGCCAAACACAAAGUGCGCUGGUUUGCCUAUCAAGAAAUAGGUACCAGUACUUGUUGUUUGCUCUCAAGCAAGCGAGACAAGUUUGAAAGAGCCUAAAGGGUGGUGAGUACGGAAAACGUACUUUCCCUAUCAUACCCUUCUCUUUACCAAUUCCAACGCAACUGCUUAGGCAGUUGUGUUACAAGUUUGACUACAUCAUAAACGAUGAAUACAAACAAACAAAAAAUUCACUCCUAGCCGGGGAUCACUUGGCUGACGGGUCGAUGAAGAACGUAGCAAGCUACGAUAAACGGUGUAAAUUGCAGAACACGCCGAACACUUGAUCUUCGAACGCACAUUGCGGCUAGCAUCAUUGACUAGCCAUGUCUGUGUGAGGGUUGUAACGAGUAAGAUCAACACAUAGUGUGAAGGAGUAGGGUUAAAACUCAUUUGUUUUAUCGCUACUCGUAGCAUCACGCUACACUCACACGUAUGAACGAGUAGUGUGCGAGAUACCACGCGUAUCUUUCACGGCACACUGCAUACCAUCGUUCAAGUGUACACACUUUCACUCAUUUCACAACCUCACAUCAGGCAAGAGUACCCGCUGAAUUUAA